RNAcentral lists this long non-coding RNA (36324 nucleotides) under Populus trichocarpa (black cottonwood). RNAcentral's name for it is "long non-coding RNA (PTRI_LNC002684)". The record is from RNAcentral. Lineage: Eukaryota; Viridiplantae; Streptophyta; Magnoliopsida; Malpighiales; Salicaceae.
UCUGAUGGAAAUGCUGAGAGGAAAAAUGAAGCUAAAAAUUACAAUGAAGUGAUGUCCACCCUUCCAAAAGUUAAAGGCUUGAGGGGGGAUGAUUAUUACCUGUACCAAGGCUUUUGGUACGCUCCCUUCUUCUUGGAAAGACUCAUGUCUGUUCAAGAGCACUUCCAUCCUCAAUCCACUGAUAUAUUUGUCGCCAGUUUUCCAAAAACUGGCACAACUUGGCUUAAGGCCCUCACUUUUGCUAUUUUCACACGAUCCCGUUUAAGUGGUUCAACAACUAGUUCUUUACUUUCCAAGAUGCCACAUGACUGUGUUCCUUUUUUGAAUUAUAACCUUGCUCAAAACCCCAGUAAUCGGGACUUGACAAUUCCUCUGCUAUCUACUCAUGUUCCUUACAGUUGUUUACCUAAAUCUAUCAUUUCUUCUUGUUGCAAGAUUAUUUACAUUUGCAGGGACGCAAAGGAUGCUUUUGUUUCUUUGUGGUACUUUCAUGCCACGUUGCAAAGGUCGAAAAAUGUUGAGCCUCUUCCUCUGGAAGAGGCUUUUGAGCUGUUCUGCAAUGGAAUUGCAAAUUUUGGACCCUACUGGAACCAUGUUUUAGGGUACUGGAGAGCAAGCUUGGAGUUCCCCGAGAAGAUACUGUUCUUGACAUAUGAGGAAAUGAAGAAAGACACCGCUGCUCAUGUUAAGAAAUUAGCUGAGUUCAUGGGUUGUUCUUUCACCCUAGAGGAAGAGGAGGAAGGGGAGGUGCAAAAGAUAAUAGGCAUGUGUAGUUUUGAGAAGUUGAGCAACUUGGAGGUGAAUAAAAAUGGGAAGUGCCUUCUAGACAUAUCAAUUCCUAUUCCAAAUAGUAUAUUCUUCAGGAAAGGUGAGAUAGGCGACUGGGCAAAUCACUUGACACCUGAAAUGGGAGCACGUCUAGAUGACAUAAUGGAGCGGAAGCUCAAGGGUUCAGGCUUGAAGCUGCCCAGGUGACUGUGCCUGGGCCCCGUUUGCUUAUUAUUAUUGGCUUAGUGGGUUCGUCAAAAGCUGUUAUCAACAUCUCGUGAAACAGCAACCGUGUAUCCCAAUAAAUACCCUCUCUGUUCAUCUCUUGUAUUUCCUAGCAAGUAUUCACAUUUUGUGAAUCAUCCAUGUCAAUAAGCAAUAUUCUUUUGUGAAUCUGUGUUUGUAACUUUCAUUGAUUUCCUUGCAAGUUUGUAAGAAUUAAAAAUGGGAUUCGUUUUUUAUUUAUUUAUUUAACACAAGUGCAUGCAUUCCAUUAAUCAGUGAUAAAAAAAAAUAAAAUUACUCUACUAUAUAAUAUUAGAGUGUUUUCUUCACAGAAAUUGCAGUGUGUUUUCUUCACACUGCAAUACAUGUUUUAAAAGAACCGAGACAACCAUACAUGAGGGCGGAGCAAAUACCAACCGAGACAACCAUCCAUUAAGAUUGUUGAAUUGAAGAUCAAAUGAACAUAGGCGGCACAUCUGCUGAAAGGAUCUCGAAAUGCCUUGUAAUUGGUUAAAAUAAAGAUCAAGAUCUGUAGGAGAACUCGUGUUUUCCACUCCUAAAAUAAGCCCAGUUGCCGGCUUCAUGUGCAACAGAGGCACAUAGAGAAUCUCCCCCCCCCCCCCUCCAGGCUCAGAUCACAAAUCUUCUUACUUCAAACCAAUCUUUUGGAACCGAUAUAUAUGUCGAGUGAUGGCUUGAUUUAUACCGGAGAUUGUGUUGGAAAAUUAAAGAAGCAUGGCUUAAUUUGUACCUUGGAUGCGCAAAUUGAUUACAGGAAAAUAUCAAAAAAAAAUUUCCUUUCUUUAUAACUUAUGAAGAGUAAAAUAAAAAAAAAGUUAAUAGUAAAACAAAAUAACCCCAAGUGUACAUUAUCAAUGCAAAACUAGAUUUUUCCUUAUUUUAUAUCCCUUUCUUUUGAUAUACUUCUUCUUUUAUGCCCCUUUCUUUUGGUAUAUCUCUUCUUUGUAUCUUUUGGUGUUAAUCACUUUGUUGAAUGCCUCUGUUGAUAUCUUUUAUAACUCACUACAGUGAUUUGAACAUUGAAAAUGUUUCCUUUUAAAAAAAAAAAAUAGAGAAGGCAUUUUGAUUUCAUCUUCAAUUUUUCUGCAUGUCUUCUUCUUUCAAAGUAUUGGGUUUAAAACACAAUCAUGCUCUACAUCAUGCUUUGAGUUUUCCAGGUUAUUUUCAGAAAGAUUUGAUAUAUUUGACCUGAAAGAAAAAAAGGAUGUACAAAGCUUUGCAUUUCUGGAACGUCUUUUCAUCAUGCUCUACAUGAUUCAAUCACAUUGCUCACAUCUACAUGAGUAACCAGAAAAGCAAGUAUUUCAUCGGAUUCUACAUGAUUCGAUCACUUCGCUCACAGCUUUAUGAGUCUCUGGUGAUAUCGUGUUUAAUUAAAUAGAAUAUUUAUUAUAAGAAACAGAUUUAUCAAAUAUAAUUGAGUAUAUGCCUCAUCAUAUCAAAUAUUUUAAUUAGAUGUAACUAUCUAGGUGGUGGUUCAGUGGUAAAAGUUUGGGACCAAGAUGUUUGUUCCCUCUGUGGUCUCAGGUUCGAGCCCUGUGGUUGCUCAUAUGAUGGUCAUUGGAGGCUUACAUGGUCGUUAACUUCAGGGCCCGUGGGAUUAGUCAAGGUGCACGCAAGCUGAUCCGGACAUCCAUGUUAAACUAAAAAAAUAUAUAUAUUUUAAUUAGAUGCGUGUGUACAAGUAUUUUAAUUUAUGAUUAAGAAUUUUUUUAUAUCAAAAAAAAAUUAAAAAGUCUGUAUAUUUAUUUUUCCUUGUUAAAACAAUUAUCUGAAAUAGCCAGUAAUCAACUAACUAUGAAAGAUAAGAUUGAGAAUUGAGAAGUUUAUUUGUCAGCAGACAGUAGCUUCAGUAGAUGGAAAAAGACUCUCUAGAUCACCGGAUCAAUUCCCACCUUCAUGAACUAUUUUUUAUUAGUACAGAAAGCUUCAUAUCAGUCAAAACUCUCUCUCUCUCUCUCUCUCUCUCUCUCUCUCUCUAAAUGGAUCAGAGACUACACAAAUAUAGAGGUGGAGCUUCACAUUAAGCUUCAGAUCAAUUUUCUAUUUUAAAAUCUCAUAAGUUUGGUCCAUUGAUUGCCCUAGAUUGCCCUAGAUUUUCCUGUGUUUUAUAUCCUUUUCUUUUGACAUUUUUUUUAAUCUUUUUCCAGGCCAAAAUCCUAAUUUAAUGUUUGAAAUUGAGAUGAUAAUUAUUUAACUAGAAAAUAUAUUAAAAUAAUAUUUUUUAUUUUUAAAAAUUUAUUUUAAUCAUCACCACAUUAAAACAAUCUAAAAUUAUAUAAAAAAAUUAAAAUAAUAAGAUUUAAAAAUAUUUUUUAAACACAAAAACAAACACAAUCAUCACUCAUAUAUCAUGAGAUUUGCAUUUAGACAUUAAAAUUCAAGAAGAAAUUAAGUUCACCGUACUAUUAAUUCAGUCGAUGAAGGAUUAGUCCCAACUACUUUAGGCCACCAUUAAUUACUUUAUUUAAAUGUAUACUUCUUUAUUAAUUCAGUCGAUGAAGGAUUAGUCCCAACUACUUUGGGCAUUUUAACUCCAUCUUCAAUUACUUUAUUUAAAGGUAUCCUUCUUUCUUAGAUAUUGAAUUUUGAAAACACAAUCAUGCUAAAGAUUUGUCAACGAAUUGUUUUUUAAAAUAAAAAAAUAUUUUAAAAAAUAAUUAAUACCAUACUACCGAGCAAAUGAAGUUAUGUGGAGGGUUCCGCACCAUUUAAAGGUUGUAAAGAAAGGUUUAAAACACAAUGACGAUAAAGAUUUGCUAUCGAAUAUAAUAUGAAAUAAUAAUACCCAAUUGCAUCAGCGGACAUGUGAUCAACAAUAUUAAAAUUCUGUAAAUUUUGAUUUAAUUCAAUUAUUGGAAUUCCAGGCAGCGUGGCAAUGUCAGAAAAUCUUGGACGAUGGUGACUAAAUGUUUGUAAAUGGAGACGGCACGUUCGCGGAAGGUAAUAGUCGAUGGUGCCAAAAAUUAAAUCAGCUCUCAACUCGUUACAAAUAGCUGCCAUGGCCUUUCAUUCUACAUUAUUUUUUCUUUUUUCACAUUCAUGGAAUCCUCUUUGCCUUCCACCCAAAUCUUGGAUUCUGGUGAAAGUGCUGAGAGGAAAAAUGAAGCUAAAAAUUACAAUGAAGUCAUGUCCACCCUUCCAAAAGUAAAAGGCUUGAAUGGGUGUGAUUAUUACCUGUACCAAUGCUUUUGGUACGAUCCCUCCUUCUUGGAAGGAAUCAUGUCUGUUCAAGAGCGCUUCAAUCCUCAAUCCACUGAUAUAUUUCUCGCCAGUUUUCCAAAAACUGGCACAACUUGGCUUAAGGCCCUCACUUUUGCUAUUUGUACACGAUCCCGUUUAAGUGGUUCAACAACUAGUUCUUUACUUUCCAAGAUGCCACAUGACUGUGUUCCUUUUAUGGAAUAUGACCUUGCUCAGAACCCAAGUAAUCGGGACUUGGCAAUUCCUCUGGUAUCUACUCAUGUUCCUUACACUUGUUUACCUAAAUCUAUCAUUUCUUCUUGUUGCAAGAUUAUUUACAUUUGCAGGGACGCAAAGGAUGUUUUUGUUUCUUUGUGGUACUUUCUUGCCAGGCUGCAAAUGUCUGAAAAUGUUGAGCCUCUUCUUCUGGAAGAGGCUUUUGAGUUGUUUUGCAAUGGAAUUGCAAAUUUUGGACCCUACUGGAACCAUGUUUUAGGGUACUGGAGAGCAAGCUUGGAGUUCCCCGAGAAGAUACUGUUCUUGACAUAUGAGGAAAUGAAGAAAGACACCGCUGCUCAUGUUAAGAAAUUAGCUGAGUUCAUGGGUUGUUCUUUCACCCUAGAGGAAGAGGAGGAAGGGGAGGUGCAAAAGAUAAUAGGCAUGUGUAGUUUUGAGAAGUUGAGCAACUUGGAGGUGAAUAAAAAUGGGAAGUGCCUUCUAGACAUAUCAAUUCCUAUUCCAAAUAGUAUAUACUUCAGGAAAGGUGAGAUAGGCGACUGGGCAAAUCACUUGACACCUGAAAUGGGAGCACGUCUAGAUGACAUAAUGGAGCGGAAGCUCAAGGGUUCAGGCUUGAAGCUGCCCAGGUGACUGCGCCUGGGUCCCAUUUGCUUCUGAUUAUUGCCGAAGUGGGUUCAUCAAAAGCUGUUAUCAACAUCUCGUGAAACAGCAACUGUGUAUCCCAAUAAAUACCCUCUCUGUUCAUCUCUUGUAUUUCCUAGCAAGUAUUCACAUUUUGUGAAUAAUCCAUGUGAAUAAGCAAUGUUCUUUUGUGAAUCUGUGUUUGUAACUUUCAUUGAUUUCCUUGCAAGUUUGUAAGAAUUAAAAAUGGGAUUCGUUUUUUAUUUAUUUAUUUAACACAAGUGCAUGCAUUCCAUUAAUCAGUGAUAAAAAAAAAAAAAUUACUCUACUAUAUAAUAUUAGAGUGUUUUCUUCACAGAAAUUGCAGUGUGUUUUCUUCCCACUGCAAUACAUGUUUUAAAAGAACCGAGACAACCAUACAUGAGGGCGGAGCAAAUACCAACCGAGACAACCAUCCAUUAAGAUUGUUGAAUUGAAGAUCAAAUGAACAUAGGCGGCACAUCUGCUGAAAGGAUCUCGAAAUGCCUUGUAAUUGGUUAAAAUAAAGAUCAAGAUCUGUAGGAGAACUCGUGUUUUCCACUCCUAAAAUAAGCCCAGUUGCCGGCUUCAUGUGCAACAGAGGCACAUAGAGAAUCUGAAAGCAGUUUUUAUGCACUAUCAGCAGAAUAAUUUGAUCAGUCAGAAUGAUCCCCCCCCCACUAGGCUCAGAUCACAAUUCUUCUUACUUCAAACAAAUCUUUUGGAACCGAUAUGUGGAGGGAUGGCUUGAUUUAUACCGGAGAUUUUGUUGGAAAAUUAAAGAAGCAUGGCUUAAUUUGUACCUUGGAUGCGCAAAUUGAUUACAGGGAAAAAAAUGACAGAAAGUGAGUUGCAGGGAAUGAAAAAGGCAUUAGUAAACUCAACAGCUUGCAGGGCAUCGUUCCUUGGUUUACUCCGUUUUAUUUCUUAUUUUGUUUUUCCUGCCAUUGUCUUAUGUUUGUCUAACUCGCAGUCUGGUCUCUGCAGAGAAUGAGAAAGCACAGACUCUUUAAGAGAAGAUAUUCUCCGGCAAUGGCAUCAAACAGAAAAGUCCGACGUUAACUAAAUGAGUUCAUGGGUCUCUUGUCUGAAUAUAGAAGUGCAGAAACUAAGCUUGACCAAAAACCCCCAUGCUACCAACUACAACUCAACAAGCAACAAAUCAAAUGAAUUGUGAUCCGCCAGUAAACAGCGAAUGGACACUGCCCCAGCAAUAGAUCAUACAAGCUCUGACCAACCGGUCAAAGAUCACGAGGACCCUACCCACUGCCCACUGACUGACAAUUCAUCAAAUAGAUUUAUUGCCGUUCACCACCUUAUUUAGAUGUAUUUUUAAAUAAUAUCCGUGAACUCAAAAAAAAAUCACUCAAAUAUCUCCCUAGAAAACUGACCUUGAACUCUUAACUAGGAGAAAAACAAAGAGGAAAAAUAGAGCUUAUAACAUAGGAAACUACGCUGAAAACUGAGGUGAAAAAAAGUGUAAGAAAUUCUGUAAAAAUGUCCAGAAACACUUUUUAUCACUUUUUACAGAGGAUUUUGAAACCUAAACCAAUGUAGAUUUACUUUUAGUAAUUAUUAAAAAUUAAUUUUUAUCAUUAUCAAUCUUAAUUAUCCGUUAUAAAUUAAAAUUAACCUUAACCCUUUUAGCUUUAAAUAUAAUGCUUUGUUAGAAUUAUAAAAACCAUUCAAAUUGAAAAAAAUUGCUUAGGCUGAAAAAAGUGUUCAGACUCUAUAUUCAUUGACAGUACAAACUGAUGGAUUAGAAAGAAAAAAAAUAUAUAGGCCAAAAAAUUAUAAAUCCAAACCCAAGUUUAAAAUAUAUUGAUAAAAAUUAAUUAUUUAUAGUUUACAAUAAAAUCAGACUUGGGACAAGCAAGCCAAUUAAGCAUGGGACUUCAACUCAAAGUUUACUUUACUUAGGUUUUUUUUUUUAAUCUGAGUGUAUUUUAAUCCAAUUUUAAUUCUUUAUAUUUUUAAUAUAUAAUUAACAAUAAAAAUGUUGUUUUUUUUACGUGAAAUAAAGGUUUUGAAUUUCACAAAGAUAUAUUCAUCAACAAAAUUAAAUUUUUAUUUAUUUAUAAUUUAUUUUAAUUAUUUUAAUAUUUUAUGUUAAAGAGAUUUGGUUGGAGAAUAAGUUUCAAUAAAAUUUAAAUCCGAAAAAUAAGUAGAUUUUAUUUUUAAUUUUAUUUCAAAUAUAUUUAUUUUUUAUGUUUUAAAACAAAUUUUAUCUCAUCUAUGUAUGUAUAAAUAUAUAAUCACAAUUCUCAAUACAGCACUUAUAGUUAGUUAUCGAACGAAAGAAUGUUAUCUCUUUCAGUAUGCCACAGAUAUUCAAAACACGGCGGUCACCCUUAUUAGCUUGCAGUCGUCUAUCGAAGUAUUAUCGCCAAAUCCACAGAAGCAAGGCAAACCACAGUUUUCUCUAGUUAUAGGACUAGACGGUACUGCGCUAGACUGCAGGUUUACAAUAUUUUUUCGAUAAAAUAUUUAAAUCAUGAGAAAAUCAUGCAUGAUUAAAAGAGUAAAAUUCAAAUUAAAAAUAUCAAUACAUGACAAAAUAAAAUUAAAAAAAAUUAAAUAAAAUUUUUAUAAAAAAACUAGAAUAAAAGAGAGGACUGAAACCGAAAAAGUUUAAACAAAAAGGACAUACCUGCAAUUUGAGGGGGGGAGGGAGGAGGAGAAAAAAAAAGGUUCAUCAACAACGAACUGCUCGACCUUCACCUACAUGUAUCGCACCAUGAGAAAGAGGAAGCAGUGAUGCUUCCAACAACACAAUAAAAUGUUUAUUUUUACAACUAGAGGUAUUGCAUGCUAUACUUGAAGUGCUAGCUUUUUAAAUUUUAAUAUUAUUUAUUUUUUUGUUAAAAGAUUACAAUGCGCAAACUAAAAAGAAAAACAAUAUAAAAAGAUAAAGUAUAACCUUGACCUAAAGCUUUUCUUUUUCUUUUUACUUCAAGGAUAUUUAAGUAAGUUUAGUGUACAUUCAAAAGCAUUUAAUGAAAUACCCUUCGACCAAGGUUUUUUUUUUUUUUAAAGUAUAAGACACUUAACAAAAUAAUAAAUAACAAAAAUUAAAAACUUAAAAAGACAAAAAAUACCCUUCGACCAAGGUUUUUUUUUUUUACUCCAAAGCAUUUAAUGAAUCUCGCCCAUAACGACAGCAAGUCUUUAAAAAGUGGAUUUCCUGAUGAAACCUGGAUAGUAUCAGUGCCAGCUCGAGCUCAGAAUGCGGCAUCUAUUGAUUAACUUACCAGUUACCAACACAAGGAGACACACACAACAACUUUAAAAAGGGCAUUAUAUAGCUAAACAUUGAUUAUUAUUUUUAUUUCAUUUUUAAUAUUAUAUUAAUUUUAAAUAUAUAUAUUUUUAAUUUCUCCAUUCAAUAACAAGUUGAAAUUCAUAAUUUUAUUUAAUUCAUUUCUUAUAAUAAUUUUUUUCCCAUCGUUUAAUUAAAUAAAAUAUUUAUUAUAAAAAAUAAAAUUAUUAAACAUAAUUGAGUAUAUGGCUUGUAUUUUUAGGUUAAAUAUUGUAAUUAGAUGUGGGUAUAAGCAUUUUAAUUUAUAAUUAAAAAGAAAAACUAUAUCCAAAAAAGAAUUUAAAAAACCUGUAUAUUUAUUUUUCAAUUAUCUAACCUGCAGCAGUGAAGUGCAAUUGAAAUAGCUAGUAAUCUAACUAAAAAAUUUAAGAUAAGAUUAAGAAAUGAGAAGUUUAUUUGUCAGCAGACAGUAGCUUCAGUAAAUAGAAAAUAUAGACUGUACUGCUGCUGAUCCCGGGAUCAAUGCCCACCUUCAUGGAUUAUAUAUAUAUAUAUAUAUAUAUAUAUAUUCAAUGUGAGAUAUUAAGUCAUUUAGUACAUACUAGUUAGAUGACUUGUGCGGUGCUGCGAGUUAAUUUUUUUUGCAUAAAAAUAUAUAAAAAAACUAAAAUCUAAAAGUAUUAGGUCUUUUUGCAAAGUUAUACCCAAGAAUCUUGGGUUUGGCUGCAACGCCUGACCCAAGAGUAAUAUUUAUAAUAUUAAUUAUAACAUUAAACUUGCAUGACUCAAGUUUAAAUGAGUCUAGAUGCAAUACCAUACCCAAUAGUCUUGGAUGUGGGUCUGGCUGCAAGGUCGUGUAAUAAAAGUGUGAUAAUUAAAUAGAUUAAUUAAAAAUAAAAAAAACAAAGAAAAAAACAAACAUGAAGAAAAAAACUAAUGAAGAAAAAGAAAAAAAAUUUGAAUUAACUGGGUUAACCCUUCAAACCAGGUUAAUCCGUCAAACCUUGGAUUCGUGUCGUGAAAGUUUGAUAACUAAAUAAAAAAAAAAUGAACAUUAACAAACUAAAUUAAAUGAAAAAAAUAAUUAAAAAAAAAAGCAUCAGCCUUUUCACUGUGGACUGCACUGUGCAGUCCACAGUCAAAUGCAUAAAAACAACAAAAAAGCAAAAAGAAAAACUAAAGGCAUCAAUCGAUAACUAAAUAGAAAAAAAAUUUAAUAUUGAUGAACUAAAUUAAAUAAAAAAAAUUAAAUAAAAAGAAGAAAAAACUUAUAAGAAGAAAAAAACUAAUGAAGAAAAAGAAAAAAAAUCUAAAUUAACUGGGUUAACCCGUCAAACCUGAGAUCCGUGUCAUGAAAGUCUGACAACUAAAUAAAAAAAAUUUAAUAUCAAUAAACUAAAUAAAAAAAUUAAUUUAAAAAAAAGGCAUCAGCCUUUUCACCGUGGAUUGCACUGUGCAGUCCAUAGUGAAAGGCAUGAAAAUAAAAAAAACAAAAAAAAACUAAAGGCAUCAGCCUUUUCACUGUGGACUGCAUAGAAUAUUAAAAGAUGAAAUCGGAAGAACAAAACUAAUGAGGAAAAAGAAAAAAAAAAUCUGAAUCAACUAGGUUAAUCCGUCAAAUCAAGUUAACCCGUCAAACUUGAAAGUGUGAUAACUAAAUAGAAAAAAGAUUUAAUAUUAAUGAAAUAAAUUAAAAAAAGAUUAAUUAAAAAGGAAAAAAGCAAAGAGAAAAAAGACCAACAGGAAGAAAAAAACCUAAUGAAGAAAAAGGAAAAAAAUCUGAAUUAAGUGGGUUAACUGGUCAAACCUGGGAUUCGUGUCAUGAAAAUCUGAUAAUUAAACAGAAAAAAUUUAAUAUUAAGAAACUAAAUUAAAAAAAGACUAAUUAAAAAAAGACAAAAAAAAACUAAAGGCAUCAGCUUUUUCACUCUUAAAAAGGAAAAGAGAGAAAAAUAAAAACAAAAGCAAACGCCACGGGUUAAUUUUUUUUUUCUUGCAUAAAAAAUAUUAAAAAAAACUAAGAUCUAAGAGUAUUAGGUCUUUCUGCAAAGAUAUGCCCAAGAGCCUUUGGUUUAGUUGCAACGCUUGACCCAAGAGUAAUAUUUAUAAUAAUAAUAAUAAUAAUAAACUUACAUGACUCAAGUUUAAGUGAGUCUGGCUGCAAGGUCGUGUCAUAAAAGUGUGAUGAUUAAAUAUAUUAAUUAAAAAGAAAAAAACCAACAUGAAGAAAAAAACUAAUGAAGAAAAAGAAAAAAAUAUGAAUUAACUGGAUUAACCCUUCAAACCAGGUUAACCCGUCAAACCUGAGAUUCAUGUUAUGAAAGUUUGAUAACUAAAUAGAAAACAAAAUUGACGGGUUAACCUGUCAAGCCUGGGAUACGUGUCAUGAAAGUCUGAUAAUUAAAUAGAAAGAAAUUUAACAUUAACAAAAUAAACUAAACGAAAAAAAAUUAAUUUAAAAGAAAAAAAGUAAAAAAAAAAUUCUAGGUUAACUCAUCAAACCAAAUUAACCCAUCAAAUCCGGGAUCCGUGUCAUGAAAGUCUGAUAACUAAAUAAAAAAAAUAACAUUAACAAACUAAAUUAAACAAAAAAAAUUCAUAAAAGAAAAAAAAACACAGAAAAAAAACAAAAAAAACAUAAAGGCAAAAAAAACAAAAACAAAAUUAAGUGAGAAUUACUGAUGUGCUUUGCCAAGCUUUGCAACAGAAAUCUCAAGACAUUUUAAAUGCUAUGCAUUUGCUGACUACCAUAAAGACUUUAAUUCAGAAGUUAAGAGAUGAUGGAUUGGAAACUCUUUUAGAACAAGUGACAUCAUUUUGUAAGCAUAAAAACAUUGAAGUUCCUGAUAUGGAUGCUUGUUUUUCUAGUGUGGGACGAUCUCGCUGUAAAACAAAAUCAAUAACAGUUGAGCAUCACUAUCGAGUUGAUAUAUUUAUAGCUAUCAUUGAUCAAUAGUUGCAAGAGCUAAAUAAUAGAUUCUAUGAGCAGGCGAUCGAGCUUCUUAAGUUGAGCAUAGCUUUAGAUCCUAAAAAUAACUAUAAAUUAUUCAGUGUUGAAGAUAUAUGCUAACUUGUUGACAAGUUCUAUCCUGAAGACUUUUCUGACCAAGAAAAAACUCAUUUGAGAUUUCAGUUGCAGCAUUAUGAGCUUGAUGUACCCAAUCAUCCAAAGUUAAAGAAUAUGUCAUCGAUUGCUGAUUUAUGUCAAGGACUGGUUGAAAUAGAAAAAUCAACAAUUUAUCUACUCAUUGAUAAGUUGAUUCGACUUAUUUUGACUCUUCCUGUUUCGACAGCAACUACUGCACGAGCUUUUUCAGCGAUGAAGAUUGUUAAAACAAGACUUCGCAAUCGGAUGGAGGAUGAUUUUCUUGCAAAUUAUUUGAUUGUCUAUAUAGAAAAAGAAAUUGCUGAAAGAUUCACAAUUGAUAUGAUAAUCGAUGAUUUCUACUCCAUGAAAGAAAGACAAAAACAAUUAAAAUAAAUAUGUAAGAAUCAUUCUUUAUUACUUUUUAUUUUAUUUAAAAGUUUUAUCAAACAUAAAUAAUGUAUCGCUUUAGCUAAUGUUUCUUAUAUAUUUUGUAUGUUUAUAUUUGAUAGGUACAAAAACCAACAAAAUUAAAGUGAUGAAUACAUUAUGAAGAUGAAAUUAACUUCAUAGCUUUGACUUAAUUUGAUAUUUGCUUUAAACAUCUUAUCUUAUACAAAAAUCAUAAUAUGUUUGUAAUUACUUUUUUGAAUAAAACUAAAUCAUGUCGUUUUUGUUUUUGUUUUUAUUUUUAUUUUUAUGUAAAGUAAAUUUUUAAAUAAAUUAUAUCUUUUAUUAUUUUAACCCCCAUUCAAAUAAUCCCAGCCCCUGACCGCAAUAACAAUCAAAAUAAAAUCUAAUUCUACCGGCUGCUAAGAAUACUAAAAUAGUGUAAAUUUUGACUUAAUUCAAUUAUUAGAAUUCGGGGCAGAUAACAGUGUUGAAGAAAAUGUCAGAAAAGUAGGGUAAACAGUACAAAUACCUUGGAUGAUGGUGACUAACGCCGUUUGUUUACGCGGGCGCGGGUGCGGUUGCCUUUUAAUUAAUAAAUAUCGGUAGUUGGAGACUUCUUGUUCUCGAAAAGAAAUAGUUAAUAGUGCCAAUAAUUAAUCUGCUCUCAACUUGCUACAAGCUGUCAUUACUCAUUACCAAAAUAUUAAAGAAACAAAUAUUUCCUAUUAGUAGAAAAGCGAUCUAAUAAAGCGAUUGUUCAGUUGACGUUAUUGAAUUGCUUUUUUAUAAAAAGUUAAUUUUUAAAUAUUUAUAGAUUAUUUUAUAUAUAAAUUUAAAAAAAAUCUUAAAAAAUUUAAAAAUAUAUUUUAAUAUAAUUAAAAAAAACAUUUGAAAAACAAUUAAUAGUAUAGUCUCAGGUCUCAACCACCCAAAAUAUACAUUUGAAAAACAUUUUAUAUACCUUGGAUUAAAUUGUGUUGUAGGUUCCACACCAUUUAAAGCUUGCAAAGAAGGAUUUAAAACACAAUCACGCUAAAGAUUUGCAAUCCAAUAUAAUAUGAAAUAAAACCCCAUUGCAUCACCGGACAUGUGAUCAAUAAUAUUAAAAUACUGUAAAUUUUGAUUUAAUUCAAUUAUUAGAGCUUGAGGCAGCGUGACAAUGUGAAAGAAAAUGUCAGAAAAUCUUGGAUGAUGGUGACCAUAUCAGUAAUUUGAGACAGCAAGUUCUCGAAAGGUAAUAGUUGAUGGUACCAAAAAUUAAACCAGCUCUCAACUCGCUACAAAUAGCUGCCAUGGCCUUUCGUUCUACAUUAUAUUUCUUUUUUUACUUUCAUGGAAUCCUCUUUGCCUUCCACCCCAAUCUUGGAUUCUGGUGAAAGUGCAGAGAGGAAAAAUGAAGCAAAAAAUUACAAUGAAGUAAUGUACACCCUUCCAAAAGUUAAAGGCUUGAGGGGGAAUGAUUAUUACCUGUACCAAGGCUUUUGGUACUCUUCCUUCUUCUUGGAAGGACUCAUGUCUGUUCAAGAGCACUUCAAUCCUCAAUCCACUGAUAUAUUUCUCACCAGUUCUCCAAAAACUGGCACAACUUGGCUUAAGGCCCUCGCUUUUGCUAUUCUUACACGAUCCCGUUUAAGUGGUUCAACAACUAGUUCUUUACUUACCAAGAUGCCACAUGACUGUGUUCCUUUUUUGGAAUAUCACCUUGCUCAAAACCCAAGUAAUCGGGACUUGGCAAUUCCCCUGCUAUCUACUCAUGUUCCUUACAGUUGUUUACCUAAAUCUAUCAUUUCUUCUAGUUGCAAGAUUAUUUACAUUUGCAGGGACGCAAAGGAUGCUUUUGUUUCUUUGUGGUGCUUUUUUCCGCGCAUCAAAUGUCGAAAAAUGUUGAACCUCUUCCUCUGGAAGAGGCCUUUGAGAUGUUUUGCAACGGAAUUUCAGUCUUGGGACCAUAUUGGGACCAUGUUUUAGGGUAUUGGAGAGCAAGAUUUGAGUUCCCUGAGAAGAUAUUGUUCUUGACAUACGAGGAAAUGAAGAUAGACACCGCUGCUCAUGUUAAGAAACUAGCUGAGUUCAUGGGUUGUUCUUUCACCUUCGAGGAAGAGGAGGAAGGGGAGGUGCAAAAGAUAAUAAGCAUGUGUAGUUUUGAGAAGUUGAGCAACUUUGAGGUGAAUAAAAAUGGGAAGCACCGUCCCGUCCGGACACAUCAAUUGCUAUUCAAAAUAGUUUAUACUUUAGGAAAGGUGAGAUAGGCGACUGGGCAAAUCACUUGACACCUGAGAUGGGAGCGCGUCUAGAUGACAUAAUGGAGCGGAAGCUCAAGGGUUCAGGCUUGAAGCUGCCCAGGUGACCGUGCCUGGGGUCCCAUUUGCAUAUGAUUAUUGCCGAAGUGGGUUCAUCAAAAGGUGUUAUCAGGAUGUCGUGAAACAGCAACUGUGUAUCCCAAUAAAUACCCUCUCUGUUCAUAGCAAGUAUUCACAUUUUGUGAAUCUUCCAUGUCAAUAAGCAAUAUUCUUUUGUGAAUCUGUGUUUGUGACUUUCAUUGAUUUCCUUGCAUGUUUGUAAGAAUUCAAAAUGGGAUUCGUUUUUUUUUUUUAUUUAACACAAGUGCAUGCAUUCCAUUCAUCAGUUUGAUAAAAAAUAAAUUUACUCUAAUAUAUAAUAUUAGAGUGUUUUCUUCACAGAAAUUGCAGUGUGUUUUUCUUCACAGCUAUACAUGUUUGAAAAGAACCGAGACAACCAUACAUGAGGGUGGAGCAAAGACCAACCGAGACAACCAUCCAUUAAGAUUGUUGAAUUGCAGAUCAAAUGAACGUAGGCGGCACAUCUACUGAAAGGAUCUCGAAAUGCCUUGUAAUUGGUUAAAAUAAAAGAUCAAGAUCUGUAGGAGAACUCGUGUUUUCCACUCCUAAAAUAAGCCCAGUUGCCGGCUUCAUUUGCAACAGAGACACAUAAAGAAUCUGAAAGCAGUUCUUAUGCACUAUCAGCAAAAUAAUUUGACCAGUCAGAAUGAUUUUUUUCCCCCUUACUAGGCUCAGAUCACAAUCCUUCUUACUUCAAACAAAUCUUUUGGAACCGAUAUGUCGAGGGAUGGCUUGAUUUAUACCGGAGAUUUUGAUGGAAACUUAAAGAAGCGUGGCUUAAUUAUACCUUGGAUGCGCAAAUUGAUUACAGGGAAAAAAUGACAGAAAGUGAGUUGCAGGGAAUGAAAAAGGCAUUUGUAAACUCAACACCUUUCAGGGCAUCGUUCCUUGGUUUACUCCCUUUUAUUUCUUAUUUUGUUUUUCCUGCCAUUGUCUAAGUUUUUCUAACUCGCAGUCUGGUCUCUGCAGAGAAUGAGACAGCAAAAACGCUUUAAGAGAAGAUAUUCUCCGGCAACGGCAUCAAACAGAAAAGUCUGACAUCAACUAAGUGCGUGUUUGACACUCCGGUUAUGUUUACAUAAAAAACAUCGUUGUCAUGUGUUUGGUUACAGUCUAAACAUAAUUUUCUGUUUGUGAGACCCGUUAUCAUUUGCUUUUAAACCGCAAGAUAACCAAAAGCAACUUCAAGCUGCCUUUUGUGUUGAGUUGCAAACUUUAUAAACAAAGGCCACAAGAAAAAGAGCAGAAACAUAGCAGUGAAUAGUAAACAGUGGAGAGUAGCUCCCUCUCACCACCGGCAUCCACCGUUUCCACCGCCAGCCACUGCUCUUCCUCUUCCCCUUCUCCUUCUCCUUUAUCUUCUGCAUUGUCCACUGUUCACGUUGCAUGUGAACAGUGGAGAGCAGCUCACCACCGGCCUCCGCUGUUUCCACCGCCAGCCACUACUCUUCCUCUUUCCCUUCCCCUUCUUCUUCUUCUUCUACAUUUUCCACUGUUCACAUGAACAGUGGAGAGCAUCUCCACUAUUCAUGGCCGGAUUGGGUCUGACCCAAACCUAAAUGCAUUGGACUGGGUCCGACCAAGUAAAAUAAAAAAAUCUAAAAACAUUUCUUAGAUAUUGUGUUUUAUUUGAAAAACUAGUGUUUAAAAUUAUUCAAUGACACUAUAUAAUUAUAUUAGAAGGAGAUCGCAUGAUGACAUAGCAUUUGCAGAAUUUGAUUGCAAUCCCAAUUUUGUUCCUAAUGAUAUUUUACCUGAUGUGAUGAUAUUUUACCUGAUGUUGGUAUACGUUCAAGAAGCCAUGAAAACUGUAGUUCUUGUCGGAUGGAUUUCGUACGUGAUUGAAUUGCAAAUAGUUUAAUAAAACAAUAAAAAAUACUUUAUAUAAAGUAUUGUUUAUUUCAUGAUUUAAUAGCAGUAGUUAAAUCUAUAAUAUUUCAAUUAAAAACCAUCAAUAUUAAUAUAUGUUUUUUUUAAUUAUUUUAUAACCUUAAUUUGAAAAAUAUUCUUUAAACCAAACACAUUAAACUACUUUUUGUUCAACCUCAAUUUCAACCACAAUUUUAACCAAAUAUAUAUUUUUUCAAACCAAUCUCAACUAAAAGUAAUUUUUAUAAAACAACUUUUUCAAACUAUAACCACAACAGCUACCACAAUACCAAAUACACAUAAAAAAAACUGUAAUGAUAAGCAAGUUAAAGUGCCACCAUUGAUUUAGGAUCUGCUUUAGAUCUUAUAAGGUGAAAGUAAAACACAAGGAAAUGCAUGCAUGCACACCACUAAUCUUUGAUUCUGGCGAGAACAGUGAUGACUACACUCAGAACCAUAUAGAAUUACAUUCCAAGAUGAAGAAAUUAAUAACAGAGCAGUGCUAUAAAGCUAAAUGUGAGAACCAAAGAUUAAUAAGCAAUGCUGAAAAUUUUAUCAUGCAUAAGAUGAGAGAAGCACAGGACAGAUUUUAUCAAAUCUAUAGUUUUUCUUCAAUAAUAAUAAUAUUUUUUAAAAAUUUAAUAAUAAUAAAAAAAAAAAACUCAUGUUCCUUGGCUCUUUCUCUUGCCAAACUGAAGCUACCAUAGUCAAAUCCAAGUAACUUAGAUGUCACGCUCUUGCUAAACCCAAGUUAUUUGGGUAUGACAUCUCAUGCUGGACUCAUAGCAUUCCAGAUCAAAGGUGUUGAUAUCUAACAAUAAUACCUCACCCGAGCCCUAAGAUGUGAUUGCUUUUCUAGACCCGAGGGCCAAGGCACCAAGACACUAUUCACUAUAAGUCAAGUCAAUGAAUCAAUCAAUCGAUUUUAAAGAUCAAGUUUUUUUUUUAAUAGAGAAACAAAACUUUUAUUAACAUUGAAAUAACUCUUAAAAUCUUAAUAAAAUUAAUUUGAAGUAAAAAUAAUAUUAAAAGAAAUAUUCAGAAGCACUUUUUGAUUGUAAAAUCAAACACACUAAAAUCAUGUAGAUUUUCAUUUAGACAUUAAAAUUCAAGAAGAAAUUAAGUUCACAGUACUAUUAAUUCAAUCGAUGAAGGAUUAGACCCAACUACUUUAGGGCCACCAUUGACAUUGAUUACUUUGAAUAAUUUUAAUUUAUAGGCAUAAAAAAUUAAUACAUAUCUUUAAGAGGAUCAAUUUUAGAUUAUCUCUCUCUCUCUCUCUCUAUUUUUUUUUUGGUUUUCAAAUAUUUGACAUUUUCGUUUAGAUAAGCUCUAGUGUGUGUUUUUUUAAGAUUAUUUUAAAUCAUGUUUCUUGAAAUGUCAAAAACAUUUCAUGGAUUAAUUUAACUUAAUAACGCCAAAGAAUUAGGAAUUAAAACUGACAAUUUCCACCAUGUAAGAGUACCUAAUUGAAAAUUUACUUUCUUAUCAUUUACCUCAAUUAAGCGGAAGCAUGAUCAUGAGAAGGGAUUUGGAGAAAGAAUUAUAAACAGAGAAUAAGAGAAAAUGUAAUGUGUAUAGAUUUUCUUAAUGAAUUAAUUAUGAUACAACAGAAGCUCAUAUAUAUAUAUAUAUACAUUCUAAACUAAUCAGUUAUGAAAUGUUAUUACAAAUAUAAUUUGAAUUUCAAUUUUAAAAUCAUGAUUAGUGCAGGUUUAUCAAUGCAGCAGAAUAUCCAUCAUAAACAAGAAGUUCACAGUUACAAAGUUUGAAUCUUUGUAACUGUAACUCUCUUUUGAAACUCUCUUCUUGGUCUUCAAUAUCCGUUAGCUAGCUGGAGAUGUAACAGUUACAAAGUUUGAAUCUUUGUAACUGUAACUCUCUUCUUGGUCUUCAAUGUCUGUCAGUUACAAAGUUUGAAUCUUUGUAACUGUAACUCUCUUAUGCUUAACAUUCCCCUGCAAACUGAUGGGGAUAGGAAUCACCAUCAAUUUGGACCGUAAAAACAUAAACCUUGCUGUAGUAUGACCUUUGGUGAAGACAUCUGCAAUCUGGUCAUAUGUUGAAAUAUAUCGUACAAGAAUAUCCUUAUUAAGAACUUUUUCACGGAUGAAGUGAUAAUCCACCUCUAUGUGCUUCGUUCGGGCAUGAAAAACAGGAUUAGAGGCAAGAGAUAUUGCACCUACAUUAUCACACCAUAGUGUAGGAGGUGACGACAAUGAAAUGCCAAGAUCUUGCAAUAACAUUCGAAGCCAAUAUAGUUCAGCAGUGACAAGAGCCAUGGAUCGAUAUUCGGCCUCAGUACUGGAUUUAGACACAACACUUUGUUUCUUUGCACUCCAGGAUAUGAGAUUUUGGCCUAGAAACACAAUAUAACCACUUGUAGAUUUUCUAUCAUCAGGAUUCCCAGCCCAAUCUGCAUCACAGAAAGCAUCUAAUGUUGUUGUCGAUUGAGUGUAGUGAAUACCAUAAUCAAUUGUUCCUUUCAAGUAACGAAGAACUCUUUUGGUAGCAAUCCAGUGUGGUUCUCGUGGAGCAUGCAUGAAUUGGCAUAAUUGGUUCACUGCAUAGCUGAUGUCAGGUCUUGUUAAAGUGCAAUAUUGAAGAGCACCAAUAACUUGAUGAUAUUCAGUUGGAUCAUUCAAUAUCCGUUAGCUAGCUGGAGAUGUAACAGUUACAAAGUUUGAAUCUUUGUAACUGUAACUCUCUUAUGCUUAACAUUUGGGAGGCACUUAGAUUAGGCUCUUCUCUAGUCUUGAGAAGCAAAACCAAUAGAGACGUGAUUGCGCACUCCCUGAGCUAUAUAGUAAGUGGCUGCAAACAAAUUGUCAGCACCAAUUCAGGUCCGGAAAAUUAAAGCAUUGAAGCAUAAAAGGUGACCUAACCUAAUUAAGCAAAUUACUACUUAUUCCAGCAUCACCUAGGAGUGAGACAGCCAGCCCAUCCAGUGUCUACAUGGUAAGGGAAUAAUUCCUUCAAGAAUGCAGAGAAAAUUAUACUUGCAAUACAACUAUAAACGAGAUGGUACAGUGCGGAAGGCAAGAUGUUAAAUCAAUUGAUCUUAUUAUAAUACUGUGAAAUAUGAUCAGGACAAAAAAAUAAAUAAAGAAAGAAAGAGUUGUUUAUUUUACAAUGAUCGAUAUGAUGCUUCUUUGCAUGUGGAAUCUUCGUCAAAGACUUGUUGAAAAUGCCAAAUUGUGAUCCACUUUUGGCUGUGUCAAAUGCAUGGGUGGGGCUUCACACAGAGCUAUUACCCCUUGUGUAAACUCAACGCCAGUUUUCAUGAGUUCUUUGGGAUUCUAACAUAGUAAAAAAAAGAAAGAUAAAAUAACAAAGUGUAAAGAAUAUUUAGUGAAAUAGAUAUUCGUGAUUAAUCAGUAGCAAUUAUUAUAUGCUGGCUCUCUCGGGUUUACUUGACAGAAGAUUUAUUAAAAAGAGUUGAUAAAGGAGAAAGAAAAGAAAAGAAAAUCUUCAAGGUAUAUCAAAACUCUGAUAAUAAUAUUAUUGGUAUUGUUAAAAAAAUCUCGACAAGACAAAUCGAAAAAUAACAAUGAAGGUCAUCAAUGACGAUAAAAAUAAGUCAUACGAGUGGCCCAAGAUAAGUGAGUUUUAAUACUUUUGAACAGCUUGUAUGAUUCAUUUUAUUCACUAUUUAUAAUCUUUUUUGAUGCUGUUAAAUUCAUCUUGUAAUGAUGUUGAUAAUGUUAUCAUUAUAAUUUCAAUGUAUUUUUAUUUUUAUUAUUAUUUUUUGUUUUGCUCUCUCUCCUCUCUCAUUGUAAUUUAUGAAGAGUAAGAGAGGGGGAAAAAAAAAACCCUAGUCUUCCAAUUUAAUCUGGCUGAAUACUACUAUCUCAAUCUUAUUCACUACUUUGUCAAAGCAAAGUAGAUUUUUCCUUAAAUAAGAUCUAAUCCACCGGCGGAUAGGUGAUCAAGAAUAUUAAAUUAGUGUAAAACUUGAUUUAAUUCAACAUUAUAAUUAGAGGUGCUAUAAUAAUGUGAAAAAAAGAAUAAAAAAACUAGAUGAUGGCGACCACAUAUCAAUAAUUCCAGACAUCACGUGGAGCACUUUCAUCAUCAUUAUUAUUAUUGGUAUAAUAAUGUUUGUUGUAUUAUUUUUUAAUUGUUAAGUUGUUUACUAUAUGUUAAAAUUUCAAGAUCUUCAAAGAUUGGGAAGAUCGGAUCUAAAGUUACUAUGGGACUGUCUUUAUUUUCCUAUUUGGAUUUUUUUAUUUAUAUUAAGAAUUUAAAUUUAAUUAGUAUUUUAUUAUUUAAAAAUUUUAAUGGUAAAUUGAUUCUAUUAGUUAGGUAAAUUUUAAAUAUAAAUUAUUUUUCUAUACAAAAUUUUAAAUCUAGAACUAAUAUAAAUAAAAAUAUUUAGUUUAUUUUUGUUCGAGGAUUCAUAUUAUUAUUUAAAUUUUUUUAUAAAUAUUUAGAGAUUUUUUCUAAUUUCCUAUGGUGUUAGGGAUUAUAACCUUAAGGUUUGGUUUGAAAUAAUGAUGACAGUUAUUUCUUAAAGUGUUUUUCACUUGAAAAUACAUUAAAAUAAUAUUUUUUUUAUUUUUUAAAUUUUUUUUUGAUAUCAGCAUAUCAAAACAAUUCAAAAACACCAAAAACUUAAUUUGAAAAAAAAUCAAAAUUUAUAAAAACCCCGGUUAAAAUGUUUUACCAAACACUUCUUAGUUUUUAAUAUUAAUACAUCAAAACAAUCCAAAAAUAUUAAUUUAAAAUUUUUAAAAACUCCGGUUGCGUUUGUAAGAUGUGUUGCGGCUCUCAACUUGCUACAAUGGCCUUUCUUUAAUAUUUUAUUUACACCAUUCAUGGAACCCUCUUUGCCUUCCACACAAAUCCCGGAUUUUGGUGAAACUGCUAAGAGGAAAAAUGAAGAGCUUUCCAAAGGCCAUGCUAAAACUACAAAGAAGUGAUCUCUACCUUUCCAGAAGUUAAAGGCUUUUGGGACGUUCCGCUCUUCUUGGGAAGACUCAUGUCAGUUCAAGAACACUACAAGCCUCAAUCCACUGAUAUAUUUGUCGCCAGCUUUCCAAAAACGAAGGAAAUCUUUGGUUAAUGUUCUCUGAAUCUCUCCUUUUCUCCUUCAAGAGUGAAAUUUAUGUGCCUUUCGUACCUUUUUACGUUAGAACAUUUCAUUUGUUCUUGUUUUCUAAAUUGAGUCUUUUCUAUGCGUUUUAUUAUUUUAUUUAUUGGGUAUUUGAGAGUGUAGUAAUAGUUAUAAUUUAAAGUGUUUUUAUUCAAAAAUAUAUUAAAAUAAUAUAUAUUUUUAAUUUUUUAAUAUUCAUCUUUUGACAACAUCACUCCAAAACAUUAGAAAACAUAAAAAAAAAAAAAACAAUUAGAAAACAAUUAGAAAACGCAAGAUUGCAUCAAUGCUAAAUGCAAUAUAUAUAUAUAGGUGCGCGCGCGCGCGUGUGUGAGAGAGAGAGAGAUCCACCUGUGUGUGAAAUGCAUAGUGAUGUUCCACAGCGAGCCAUUAUCUAUUAUGUAAAAUCUCUGAGAAAUGUCAUAGAUCAAUUGGUCGAUAUAGCAAAUUGAUAGGUUAAAGCUGCUCAUAAUCAAUACCUCUAAAAGAUUAUCUUUGGUGGAGAUGAAAACUUUUUGAUAUGUAAAUAAGUAUUUAAAAAAAAAUUAAAUAUUCUAUAAAGAGAUGUUCUGAAAAUACAAAUGCAGUAGAGAAUUGGAGAUUGUGAAUCUUUAUUAUGAAGGUCUCAUGAUAUAUUUAUAGCUCGAAUCUUGUCAUUUUGUGAAAAUAAGAGUUUGCAGUGUAAUUAACCUGAUAACAUUUAAUGAGGAAUAAAUAUCAUUUACAUGAUGGGAAUAUGGUGGGUCCUCGAAGGAGUUUUAUACACCUUAAAAGGUAUCAGAAAAUUAGAGUUUAAGAUAUCAAGUGUAGCUGAGCUUAUAGAGAUCAAGUUCUUUCUUGAGAUUAAAUCCAAGGGAGGUUUGUCAUUCCCCUGGACAUGCCAAGGAAGAAUGGUUAUUAUCUUGGACUUGGUUGGUUGCCAAAUCCAAGCAUCUUGGGCAUGACAUGCGUGCCAGAUCCACACUACCUUGAAGUUGGAGCACUACUAAGUCCAAGCGCCUCGGGUCUGACAUGCAUGCCAGACUUAUACUACGCUGGACUUGGUGCAUUACUAAGUCCAAAUGCCUUGGGUCUGAUAUGCCUGUUAGACCUAUAUUAUCUUGGGCUUGACGCAUUACUAUAUUCAAGCACCUUGAACUUAAUUAAUUGUCAAGUCCAUGCAUCUUAGAUUUAGAUCUAACAUAUACACUAGACUCAUAUUACAUUGAAUCUAGCGCAUUACAAAGUUAUAAUGCCUUGAAUUAAGUAUAUGUGCCACAUCCAUACAUUUUAAAAAACCAAACGAAAACUAAAUAAAAAGUUGACUCAUCGCUAAUCUAUAAAUACUAUCUACAUAAUGGCCUUAGUUGAUAUCUUCUACCGCUUACUACAUUUACUUGAAUAAUGAAAAUGUUUUUUUUUUUUAAUGGAAAAGAGAUUUUAACUCCAUCUUCAAUUACUAUAUAAAUGUUUCCUUGGGUUUUGAAAACGCAAUCAUGCUAAAAAUUUAUUAUCUAAUAUAAAAUAAAAUGUAUUUGUUUUUAUAUUUUAAAAAUGUUUUUUUUUUAAUUUUUUAAUUUUCAUCUUGUUUUGAUGUGUUAAUAUUAAUAAUAAAUUUUAAAAAUAAAAAAAAUAUUAUUUUAAUAUAUUUUUUAAAUUAAAAAUAUUUUAAAAAAUAACUAUUACAACAUUAACGAAUAAGAUUUAAUAUAAAAAACAUUCUAAUUGCAUCAGCUGAGAGGUGAUCAACAAUACCGCAUUCCCGAACUUCACAUCCCUAUAUUAAUGGAUUGUGUUGUGGGCUCCACGCCAUUUAAAGCUUGUAAGAGAAACCACACCUCUAAAUAGAAACCACACGAUCACGCUAAAAGAUUUGCUAUCGAAUAUAAUAUGAAAUAAAACCCAAUUGCAUCAGCGGACAUGUGAUCAAUAAUAUUAAAAUAAGGUAAUAGUUGAUGGGCCACAAAUUAAACCAGCUCUCAACUCGCUACAAAUAGCUGCCAUGGCCUUUCAUUCUACGUUAUAUUUUCAUUUUUUACAUUCAUGGAAUCCUCUUUGCCUUCCACCCAAAUCUCGGAUUCUGGUGACAGUGCAGAGAGGAAAAAUGAAGCUAAAAAUUACAAUGAAGUGAUGUCCACCUUUCCGAAAGUUAAAGGCUUGAAUGGGUAUGAUUAUUACCUGUACCAAGGCUUUUGGUACGCUCCCUUCUUCUUGGAAGGACUCUUGUCUGUUCAAGAGCGCUUCAAUCCUCAAUCCACUGAUAUAUUUGUCGCCAGUUGUCCAAAAACUGGCACAACUUGGCUUAAGGCCCUCACUUUUGCUAUUUUCACACGAUCCCGUUUAAGUGGUUCAACAACUAGUUCUUUACUUACCAAGAUGCCACAUGACUGUGUUCCUUUUUUGGAAUAUCACCUUGCUCAAAACCCCAGUAAUCGGGACUUGGCAAUUCCUCUGGUAUCUACUCAUGUUCCUUGCACUUGUUUACCUAAAUCUAUCAUUUCUUCUUGUUGCAAGAUUAUUUACAUUUCCAGGGACGCAAAGGAUGCUUUUGUUUCUUUGUGGUACUUUCUUGCCAGGCUGCAAAUGUCGAAAAAUGUUGAACCUCUUCCUCUGGAAGAGGCAUUUGAGUUGUUUUGCAAUGGAAUUGCAAAUUUUGGACCAUAUUGGGACCAUGUUUUAGGGUAUUGGAGAGCAAGCUUCGAGUUCCCUGAUAUUGUUCUUGACAUACGAGGAAAUGAAGAAAGACACCGCUGCUCAUGUUAAGAAACUAGCUGAGUUCAUGGGUUGUUCUUUCUGUUGCAUUAAACUCAAUCUAGAAGGUUAAGGAAGGCAACCACCACUUGCAGCCACUAGCUGUCACCGCCUAGCCGCCAGCCGUCUUCAUACUUGAAAGUUGAAUUAUCUUGUUUUUGAAUUCUGUGUAUAAAUAGAUAGCUAAGUGGAUGUUAUUCUGUGUGGAAAGAGAAGAAAGAAACACUAGAGAGAAAGAGAGAGGGAGUGUGUAGCUUUUGUUUAAUUAUUGUAAGCUUUUAUUGUUGAAAUAAAACAGUGUGUUUUAUCUCUUCUGAGUGUUUCAAAGCCACCACCAGUGGUUUCUCCCACCAACAAUUGGUAUCAGAGCCUCGUUCGUCACAAAACACAAGUAUUUUGGGAGAUACACGAAUUUUCAAAGUUGUCAAAAACAAUUUUUGAUCAUUCCACAAUGUAGAGCUCAUCCAUACGAACUCACUGGUGCAAAAAUCAGCUUCAUCGGAGCCCGAGGUGAUCCCCACGCGCCUCCUGAAAUUCCGGUAACUGUAGCCCAGUCUCACCCACGCGCUCCAGAGGUUGAAGACGCCAGAGGUUGAAGACGAGUGUCGUCCACGCGCGCCAUAUUCGAGCCGAUCCCCAGCCGAGCCGAUCUUUAGCCUCAGCCGAGCCGAUAGAAUAUUCCCCAGAAUAUUCCCGGUUCAACCCCAGCGAACCGCCUAACGUCCAGAAUCGGUUUUCAGACCGGUUCAGCCUAUUUCUGACCCAUUUUCAUCCAAGUCAGGCCGGUUCCCUACUGUUUUGAGCAUUCUGGAUCCAUCUACGGUGUCUGUUUUGCCAAAUUCAACUCCCAGAAGGUGAUAUAGUCAUUCAAAAAGCAAAAUGACUACAGAAAAUGCACAAACACUCAUCCCGAAGCUGACCAAAGACAACUAUGAUAGUUGGUGUAUCAGAUUGAAGGCAUUUCUUGGUUUACAAGAGUGUAUAGAGAUUGUGCAAUAUGGUUAUGAUGAACCAGAGUCUAAAGAAGUAGAAGAUACUUUAAAUGAGGCAGAAAAGCAAGUCCUCAAAGCAAAUAGAAAGAAAGACAACAAAGCAAAGACCAUAAUCUAUCAAGGUCUUGACGAAGCUAUAUUCGAAAUUAUUGCUUCCGCAGAAACAUCAAAAGAGAUAUGGGAGGCUCUCCAACAAAAAUACAAAGGUGCUGACAGAAUCAAGAAGAUUCGUCUCCAAUCUUUGCGAGGUGAGUUUGAAUUAUUGCAAAUGAAGGCCUUAGAAUCUAUUUUUGACUAUCACACAAGAAUUAUGGUGAUAGUCAAUCAGAUGAGAAGAAAUGGAGAAGCCCUCACAGAUGCUCGGAUUACAGAGAAAAUUUUGAGAUCCCUAUAUCCAAAAUUUUAUUUUGUUGUUGUCGUUAUUGAAGAGUCCAAAGAAGUGGACAAGUUGAUGGUGGAUGAGCUUAUGAGUUCUUUGCAAGCUCAUGAGCAAAAGAUCGUGAAAAGAAAUGGAGAUAAGGCAAUUGAGCAUGCCUUACAAGCAAAGUUGUCUCUCAAAGACAGAUAUGAGCAAGGGGAGACUUCAAUAAGUGGAUAUACCACUCAAGGAAGAAGUCCACAAAGACGAGGAGGAUUUCAGCAAUUCCAAGGAAGAGGAUCUUGGAAUACAGGUUUUAGAGGAAGAGGUGGCAGAUAUACCACUAGAGGAGGCCGAGGACAACAAUCAUUCACUCCUAAAGGAAGAGGAGGCGGUUACAAUAACCGUGACAAGAGGAAUAUCCAGUGUUAUAAGUGCAAUCAAUUUGGGCACUAUAGCAUUGAAUGUCAAAGGAAAGCUCCAUUAGAGGUACGUGAGCAUGCAAACUAUGCAGAGGAGGAUGCCAACAGCAGAGGAGCAGCUGCAUUAUUUGUCCAACAAGGACUUGACAAGAAUCAAGAGAAUAUUUGGUAUCUUGAUUCUGGAGCCAGCAAUCACAUGUGUGGCCAACGAGAUCUAUUUGGCGAUCUAGAUGAGACCAUACAAGGUCUAGUCACCUUUGGAGAUACAUCAAAAGUUCCAUUCAAAGGUAAAGGCAACAUCCCAAUCAAGUUGAAGAAUGGCGAUCAUAGCUACAUCGCCAAUGUCUACUAUGUCCCAGCCAUAAAGCAAAACUUGGUGAGCAUAGGUCAACUUCUAAAGAAAGGUUAUACACUUUUCAUGAAGAAUUGUCAUCUGACAGUUACAGACUACAAUGGGAGAUUAAUUGCCUAUGUGAAAAUGUCCAAGAAUAGGAUGUUUCCUUUAAACAUCCAAUAUGAUGCAGCAAAGUAUUUGAGUGCCAUCACCAACAGUGAAGAGUGGCUUUGGCACCUGAGGCUUGGACAUCUGAAUUUCACAAGUCUGAAGAUGCUAGCAAGCAAGAAGAUGGUCAAAGGUAUGCCCCACAUUGAUCAUCCAGAUGAAGUCUGUGAGAGUUGUGUCCUCAGCAAACAUCACAGAUCCAAUUUUGCCAAAGAAGUCAACUGGAAAGCAAACAAGCCACUGGAGUUAGUGCACACAGAUGUGUGUGGUCCCAUAAAGCCUAUGUCGACUGGACCAAAUAGGUACUUCCUUACUUUCAUUGAUGAUUUUAGCAGAAAGACGUGGAUAUACUUUCUGAAGAGGAAGUUAGAAGUGUUCAAUUGUUUUAAAGAUUUUAAAGCAAUUGUUGAGAAGCAAAGUGGCUAUAAGAUCAGAACCGUGAGAUCUGAUCAAGGUGGAGAAUAUACAGCAAAUGACUUUGAAGCCUUUUGUACACAACAAGGCAUCAAACAUCAGACAACACCAGCUUAUACACCACAGCUGAAUGGUGUAGCUGAAAGAAAGAAUCGAACGAUUCUUGACAUGGCGAGAAGUCUACUCAAAGCAAAGAAGCUGCCCAAACAAUACUAGGCUGAAGCUGUAUCAUGUGCAGUGUAUCUACUGAAUCGCUGCCCAACCAAAAGUUUGCAAGCUGUCACUCCACAAGAAGCAUGGAGUGGUCACAAACCAAGUGUUACUCAUCUUCGAGUCUUUGGUUGUGUGGCAUAUGCAAAGAUCCCAGAUGCAAGAAGGACCAAACUCGAUGAUAAAAGCGAGAAAUGCAUCUUUGUCGGAUAUGGUGAGAGAAAGAUGGGAUACAAGCUGUAUAAUCUCAUCACAAAGAAGGUAAUUAUGAGUAGAGAUGUUAUCUUUGAAGAAGAUAAAACAUGGCAAUGGAAGGAUGACCAAGAAGCAGUCAAAUGGAUCAGCACUGAUUUGAUCCUUGAAGAUGAAGUGGAAGUACCACCAGUACUUGCAGAAGGUCUGAUAUUACCGGCAGAUGAGCCACAAAGUUCGGUACACAGAUUCCCUGUAUUCAACAGGAGAAACACACCAGAAUCAUCAUCAGCAUCCUCAUCAGAAGGACCAAGAAGGAUGAGAAAUCUAGACGAGUUGUACGAUGUCAUGCAAGUCAUGGAAGAUACAACUCUAUUUUGUUUCUUUACAGAUACUGACCCACUUAGCUUCAAUGAAGUUAUCAAAGAAGAGAAGUGGAUAUAAGCAAUGGAUGAAGAAAUACAUGCUAUUGAGAAGAAUGACACCUGGAAGCUGACUAAUCUACUAGAAAACAAGAAAGCAAUAGGUGCCAAAUGGGUCUAUAAGACAAAGAAGAAUGCAAAAGGAGAAGUGCAAAGAUACAAAGCAAGAUUAGUAGCAAAAGGCUACAAAUAAAGAGAAGGCAUUGACUAUGGAGAAGUAUUUGCUCCAGUAGCCCGGCUAGAGACAAUCAGACUGAUGAUCUCACUAGCUGCACAACAUAGAUGGAAGAUCUAUUAACUCGAUGUGAAGUCAGCAUUUCUGAAUGGCUUCCUAGAAGAAGAGAUCUAUGUUGAACAACCACUUGGAUACAUCGAAGCUGAAAAUGACGGCAAAGUAUACAAGUUGAAGAAAGCUCUCUACGGUUUGAAGCAAGUUCCGCGUGCUUGGAAUACCAGAAUUGACAGGUAUUUUCAAGAAAAUGAAUUUGAAAAAUGUCCAUAUGAACACGCAAUAUAUGUGAAGAAAGAAGCAGAUAACAACAUAUUAUUUGUGUGCCUAUAUGUUGAUGAUUUGCUAUUCACCGGCAACAACCCAACCAUGUUUGAAGCCUUCAAGAAAAGCAUGGUACAAGAGUUUGAGAUGACAGACAUUGGUCUGAUGGCACACUUUCUUGGCUUAGAAGUGGUGCAGAAAGAAGAAGGGAUUUUUGUAUCCCAAAGCAGUUAUGCCAAAGACAUUCUUGAAAGGUUCAAGAUGGAAAGCUGCAAUCCGGUAUCAACUCCAGUUGAGAAUGGAGUAGAAUUGAGGAAGAGUAAAGUUGGAAAUGUUGAUCCAACUUACUUCAAAAGCUUAGUAGGAAGCUUAAGGUACUUGACAUGUACCAGACCGGAUAUACUCUACGGAGUUGGUCUUAUCAGCAGAUACAUGGAGACACCAGACCAGUCUCACUUGAAUGCAGCCAAGAGAAUUCUUCGCUACAUCAAAGGAACAAUCAAUGAAGGUAUGUUUUAUACCUCAAGUACAAACUUCAAUCUUGUUGGCUACUCGGAUAGUGAUUGGGGUAGAGAUCUGGAUGAAAGGAAAAGCACAACAGGGUUUGUCUUUUUCAUGGGAAAUACAUUUUUCACAUGGUCAUCCAAGAAGCAAUCGAUAGUAACGUUAUCAAGCUGUGAAGCUGAGUAUGUUGCUGCCAACUCAGCUGUAUGCCAUUUAAUAUGGUUAAGAAAUAUGCUGAAGCAUUUGGGAUUUCCUCAAGAAGAUCCCACAGAGAUUUAUAUUGAUAAUCGAUCAGCGAUUGCAUUAGCAAAGAACCCGGUGUAUCAUGAACGAAGUAAACACAUUGAUACACGUCAACACUUUAUCCGAGAGCAUAUAAAGAACAAAGAAGUCGAGCUGAUAUCCUGCAAGACAAAUGAUCAAGUUGCAGAUAUCUUUACAAAGCCAUUGAAGGGAGAAACAUUUAUCAGACUGAAGUUCAUACUUGGCGUGACAUCCCUCGAUUAAGUUUAAAGGGGGGAUUUGUUGCAUUAAACUCAAUCUAGAAGGUCAAGGAAGGCAACCACCACUUGCAACCACCAGCUGUCACCGCCCAGCCACAAACCGCCCAGCCGCCAGCCACUAGCUGUAUGCCGCCAGCCUCCAGCCGCCUUCACACUUGAAGGUUGAAUUAUCUUGUUUUUGAAUUCGUGUAUAAAUAGGUAGCUAAGUGGAUGUUAUUCUGUGUGGAAAGAGAAGAAAGAAACACUAGAGAGAAAAGAGAGGGAGUGUGUAGCUUUUGUUUAAUUAUUGUAAGCUUUUAUUGUUGAAAUAAAACAGUGUGUUUUAUCCCCUCUGAGUGUUUCAAAGCCACCACCAGUGGUUUCUCCCACCAACACUUUCACCUUAGAGGAAGAGGAGGAAGGGGAGGUGCAAAAGAUAAUAAGCAUGUGUAGUUUUGAGAAGUUGAGCAACUUGGAGGUGAAUAAAAAUGGGAAGCACCGUCCGGACACAUCAAUUGCUAUUCAAAACAGUGUAUACUUCAGGAGAGGUGAGAUAGGCGACUGGGCAAAUCACUUGACACCUGAAAUGGGAGCACGUCUAGAUGACAUAAUGGAGCAGAAACUCAAGGGUUCAGGCUUGAAGCUGCCGAGGUGAAUGUGCCUAGGGUCCCAUUUGCUUGUGAUUAUUGCCGAAGCGGGUUCAUCAAAAGCUGUUAUCAACAUCUCGUGAAACAGCAACUGUGUAUCCCAAUAAAUACCCUCUCUGUUCAUCUCUUGUAUUUCCCAGCAAGUAUUCACAUUUUGUGAAUCAUCCAUGUCAAUAAGCAAUGUUCUUUGUGAAUCUGUGUUUUUGACUUUCAUUCAUUUCCUUGCAUGCUUGUAAGAAUUAAAAAUUGGAUUCGUUUUUUUUAUUUAUUUAUUUAACACAAGUUCAUGCAUUCCAUUAAUCAGUUCGAUAAAAAAUAAAUUUAGUCUAAUAUAUAAUAUUAGAGUGUUUUCUUCACAGAAAUUGCAGUGUGUUUUCUUCAGUUAUACAUGUUUUAAAAGAACCGAGACAACCAUCCAUUAAGAUUGUUGAAUUGCAGAUCAAAUGAACGUAGGCGGCACAUCUGCUGAAAGGAUCUCGAAAUGCCUUGUAAUUGGUUAAAAUAAAGAUCAAGAUCUGUAGGAGAACUCGUGUUUUCCACUCCUAAAAUAAGCCCAGUUGCCGGCUUCAUGUGCAACAGAGGCACAUAGAGAAUCUGAAAGCAGUUUUUAUGCACUGUCAGCAGAAUAAUUUGAUCAGUCAGAAUGAUUCCCCCCCUCUAGGGCUCAGAUCACAAUUCUUCCUUGAAACAAAUCUUUUGGAACCGAUAUGUGGAGGGAUGGCUUGAUUUAUACCGGAGAUUUUGUUGGAAAAUUAAAGAAGCAUGGCUUAAUUUGUACCUUGGAUGCGCAAAUUGAUUAGAGGGAAAAAAUGACAGAAAGUGAGUUACAGGGAAUGAAAAAGGCAUUAGUAAACUCAACACCUUUCAGGGCAUCGUUCCUUGGUUUACUCCGUUUUAUUUCUUAUUUUGUUUUUCCUGCCAUUGUCUAAUGUUUUUCGAACUCACAGUCUGGUCUCUGCAGAGAAUGAGAAAGCACAAAUUCUUUAAGAGAAGAUAUUCUCCGGCAAUGGCAUCAAACGGAAAAGUCCGACGUCAACUAAGUGUGUGUUUGGUGUUGCGGCCGUGUUUACAAAAAAACAUCGUUGUCAUGUGUUUGGUUACGGUCUAAACACAAUUUUCUAUUUGUGGGACCCAUUACUAUUUGCAUUUAAACUGCAAGAUAACCGGAAGCAACUUCAAGUUGCUUUUUAUGAUUAGUUGCAAACUAUGUUAUAAACAGAGGCCACAAGAAAAAGAGCAGAAAUAGAGCAGUGAAUAGUGAACAGUAGAGAGCAGCUGCCUCUCACCACCAACCUCCACCGUUUUCACUGCCAGCCACUGCUCUUCCUCUUCCCCUUCUCCCUUUCACGUGAACUGUGGAGAGUGGAGAGCAGCUCACCACCGACCUCCGCUGUUUCCAUCGCCAGCCACUGCUCUUCCUUUUCCCCUUCUCCUUUUCACGUGAAUAGUGGAGAGUGGAGAGCAGCUCACCACCGACCUCUGCUGUUUCCAUCGCCAGCCACUGCUCUUCCUCUUCCCCUUCUCCUUCAUCUUUUACGUUCUCCACUGUUAAUGUGAACAGUGGAAAGCAGCUCAUUACCGGCCUCUGCCAUUUUCACCGCCAGCCACUGCUCUUCCCCUUCCCCUUCCCCUUCGUCUUCUGCAUUCUCCACUGUUCACGUUGCAUGUGAACAGUGGAGAGUAGCUCACCACCGGCCUCCAUUGUUUCCACCGCCAGCCAUUGCUCUUCCUCUUCCCCUUCUCCUUCUCCUUCAUCUUCUGUAUUCUCCACUGUUCACGUGAACAGUGGAGAGCGUCUCCACUGUUCAUGACCGGACCGAGUCAAACCCAAACCUAAAUGCAUUGGACCGGGUCCGACCCAAUAAAAUUAAAAAAAAUCCAAAAAAAUUUCUUAGAUAUUGUGUUUUAUUUGAAAAACUAGUGUUUAAAAUUAUUCAAUGGCACUACAUAAUUAUAUUAGGAGAUCGCAUGAUAACGUAACAUUUGCAUAAUUUGAUUGCAAUCCCAAUUUUGUUCCUAAUGAUAUUUUACCCAAUGUGAUGAUAUUUUACCUGAUGUUGGUGCACAUUCAGGAAGCCAUGAAAACUAUAGUUCUUGUCGGAUGGAUUUCGUACGUGAUUGAAUUGCAAAUAGUUUAAUAAAACAAUAAAAAAUACUUUAUAUAAAGUAUUGUUUAUUUCAUGAUUUAAUAGCAGUAGUUAAAUCUAUAAUAUUUCAAUUAAAAACCAUCAAUAUUAAUAUAUGUUUUUUUUAAUUAUUUUAUAACCUUAAUUUGAAAAAUAUUCUUUAAACCAAACACAUUAAACUACUUUUUGUUCAACCUCAAUUUCAACCACAAUUUUAACCAAAUAUAUAUUUUUUCAAACCAACCUCAACUAAAAGUAAUUUUUAUAAAAACAACUUUUUCAAACUAUAACCACAACAGCUACCACAAUUCCAAAUACACACAAAGAAAACUGUACUGAUAAGCAAGUUAAAGUGCCACCAUUGAUUUAGGAUCUGCUUUAGAUCUUAUAAGGUGAAAGUAAAACACAAGGAAAUGCAUGCAUGCACACCACUAAUCUUUGAUUCUGGCGAGAACAGUGAUGACAACCAUAUAGAAUUACAUUCCAAGAUGAAGAAAUUAAUAACAGAGCAGUGCUAUAAAGCUAAAUGUGAGAACCAGAGAUUAAUAAGCAAUGCUGAAAAUUUUAUCAUGCAUAAGAUGAGAGAAGCAUAGGACAGAUUUUUCCCUCAAAUGAUUAACUAGAAUACGAGUUGCACUUCAAUUUUAAAGCUGAAAGAUGAAACAAUCAUACAAGCUCACACCUCUAUAACAGAGUGACAGUUCAUGGUGACCUCAAAGACUGCAUCAAGUCCUCCAAGCUCUCGUAACUUUUCCUUAAAGUCCCCCCCCAGUCUUCCUUGCCAUGCCAGAUGUAUCUGAAUGAAUGCAACCCAUACAGUGAAAUAAAUAAGCAAUCAGAAAAGGAGAGAGAGAGCUGUGUGAAUAAAGAAUUGUCACAAAACUAGAUGAUGGCGACCACAUAUCAAUAAUUCGAGACAUGACGUGGGGCACUUUCAUCGUGAUUAUUGUCUGUACAAUAAUGUUUGAUGCAUUAUUUCUUGUUAAGACUUUUUAGGUUGUGAAAAGUCCAAGAUGUAGCUUUUGAUUUUAUCAUUUAUAUUAAAUUGAAAUUUUGACAUAAAAUUCUAAAGAUUUUGUGGUUAAAAUUUCAAGAUCUUCGAAGAAAGACCUUUAAAUAAGGAUUUAAAGUUAUUAUGAGAUGGUCUUUAUUUACCUAUUUAGAUUUUUUUAUUUAUAUUAAAAAUUUUAAUUCAAUUAGUAUUUUACUAUUUAAAAAUUCUAAUAAUAGAUUGAUUAUAUUAAUAAUACAAAUUAUUUUUCUAUACAAAAUUUUAUUUCUAGAAUUAAUAUAAAUAAAAAUAUUUAGUUUAUUUUUUUGUUCAGGAUUCAUAUUAUUAUUUAGAUUUUUUAUAAAUAUUUAGAGAUUUUUUUUAUUUUGCUACUGUGUUAGGACUAUAACUUUAAGGUUUGGGUGUUUGGGAAAGUUAUAGCGGUUACGUUUUAAAGUGAUUUUUAUUUAAAAAUACAUCAAAAUAAUAUAUAUUUUUUAUUUUUAAAAUUAAUUUUUGACAUCAAAACAAUGCAAAAACACCAAAAAAUUAAUUUGAAAAAAAAUUAAAAUUUUUGAAAACCUUGAUUAAAAUGUUGUACCAAACACCCUCUUAGUUUUAUCUUAUUUUUAAAAAAAUAAUUCUUAACAUUAGCAAUCAAAACAAUCUAAAAACAAAAAAAUAAUUUUAAAAAAAUCAAAAUCUUUAAAAACUCCCGUCUAAAUGUUUCCUUUUAGUUUUAUCAUUGUUGCACUGCGUAAUGAUGCUCAAAAGGAAAUAGUUGAUAUAGCCGUACUUGGGGUAUUUAAGAAUGUGAUAGCGGUUACUUUUUAAAAUGUUUUUCGUUUAGAAAUGUAUCAAAAUAAUAUUUUUUUAUUUUUAAAAAAUUAUUUUUGAUAUCACCAUAUCAAAAUGAUAUGAAAACACUAAAAAAAUAUUAAUUUAAAGUAAAAAAAAUAAAAAAAAUUAAUCUUUUAUUAAAAUAUUUUUGAAAUACAGAAAUACUACGAGCUCUCAACCUGCUACAAAUAACUGCUGCAAUGGCCUUUCUUUAAUAUUUUACUUACACCAUUCUGCAAAAUAUUUUCUUUUGUACAUCCAUGGAACCCUCUUUGCCUUCUACACAAAUUCAAAGUCCAUGCUAAAAACUACAAAGAAAUGAUCUCUACCUUUCCAAAAGUUAAAGGCUUUUGGUACUUUCCGUCCUUCUUGGGAACACUCAUCUCAGUUCAAGCAAUCCACUGAUAUAUUUGUCGUCAGCUUCCAAAAACGAAGGAAAUCUUUGGUUAAGUUAAAACUCCUUUUCUCCUUCAACAGUGAAAUUCACGUGCCUUUCACACCUUUUUAAGUUCGAACAUUUCAUUUGUUCUUGUGCUCUAAAUUGAGUCUUUUUUGUGAGUUCUAUUAUUCUACUGUGUUUGGUUUAGCUUUUGUAGUUGAGGUUGUGGUAGGGUACAUGUACAAAACUCAACCACAAAAGCUAAUUUUUCUUGUUUUUUAUGGCUUUUUUAGUGGGUUCCACACUCAACCUCAACCUCCAUCUCAAAUACAAACACACACUAAAAGAUUAGAAAACGCAAGAUUGCAUCAAUGCUAAAAGCAAUUUCAAUCUCAAUGUGUGUGUCAAAUGCAUGGUGAUGUUUCAUGAUAUGUUUGUUUUGACGUUUCAAAAAUAUUUUUUUUAAACUGAAUUUUUUUAAUUUAUUUUUCGCUUCAAAUUAAUAUUUUUUGUUUUUUCAGAUUAUUUUGAUGUACUGUUGUUAAAAAUAAUUUUUUUUAAAUAAAAAAUAUUAUUUUAAUACAUUUCCGAGCAAAAAUCACUUUAAAAAAUAAUUGUUAUUACACUUCCAAACACAUCUUUAAAAGGACAAAGUUAUGGAGUUGAGGGCUCUAAAUAUUCCUCAAAAUAUCUGGCCUCAAAGCUAUUAUCGAGUCUUAAAGCUUUUGCUUUUUAUAUUGUUUUGAUGUAAAAAAUAAAUUUUAAAAAUAAAAAAAUAUUAUUUUAAUAUAUUUUUAAAUAAAAAAAUAUUUUAAAAAACAAUUACAGUAAAAUAACAAAUAAAAUAUUAAUAUGAAAUAAAAUCUAAUUCUACCAGCAGACAGCUGAUAAGAAUACUAAAAGAGUGUAAAUUUUGACUUAAUUCAAUAUUUCAAUUAUUAGAAUUUGGGGCAGCGUAACAGUGUCAAAGAAAAUGUCAGAAAAGUAAGGAAAACAGUACAAAUACCUUGGAUGAUGGUGACCAAAUAUUUGUAAUUUGAGACAUCUCGUUCUUGAAAAGAAUAGUUAAUAGUGCCAAUAAUAUUUUUUUUUAUUCACGUGACGGGUGAGCUUGUGUGUAUCUCGAUUAAUUCCCACGAAUCCUGAAAUUAAUGAUCAGGUAAGUUUCCAGUGGUCAUCAAUAUUAACAACCAUAUGGCUCGAACCUGAGACCACAAGGAGGAGCAAACCUCUUGAUCUCAAACUCUUACUAUUAGACUGCCUAUUAGAUGGUUAGUGCUAAUAAUUAAUCUGCUCUUGACUUGCUACAAAUAGCUGUCAUGAUCACAUAUUCAAAAAACACUAGUUUAUAAAUUCUAAGGGUAUCUCAACUAGUUAGACUUUAAGUAUGUUUUCCAAUAAUUAUGAGUUCGAGUCCUUUUAAGAUAAUUGAAGGUUUACACGGCGUUAACUUCAGGACCCAUAAAAUUAAUCGAGAUAUAUACAAGUUGAUUCAGAUAACCAUAUUAAUUUAAAAAAACAAACACUAGUCUAGAAAAGCAAUAUACAAGGUGAUUUUUUAGUUGACUAGUUGAAUCUGAUUUUUAUAAAAAGUAAUAUUUUAGAAGAUAAUUUUUAAUAAUUUUAGAUUUUUUAAUAUAUAAAUAUCAAAAAUAAAUUUUAAAAAAUAAAAAAAUAUUAUUUUAAUAUAAUUUUAAAUAAAAAAACAUUUGAAAAAACAAUUAAUAGUAUACUCUCAACUACCCCAAAAUAUAGGAUUAAAUUGGAUUGCGGGUUCCCCACCAUUUAAAGCUUGCAAAGAAGGAUUUGAAACACAAUCACCCUAAAGAUUUGCAAAUGGAAUAUAAUAUAAAAUAAUACCCAAUUGCAUCAGCGGACAUGUAAUCAAUAAUAUUAAAAUACGGUAAAUUUUGAUUUAAUUCAAUUAUUGGAUUCUAGGCAGCGUGACAAUGUCAGAAAAUCUUGGAUGAUGGUGACCAAACAUAUCAGUAAUUUGAGACAACACGUUCCCGAAAGGUAAUAGUUGAUGGUGCCAAAAUUUAAACCAGCUCUCAACUCGCUACAAAUAGCUGCCAUGGCCUUUCAUUCUACCAUAUAUUUAUUUUUUAACUUUCAUGGAAUCCUCUUUGCCUUCCUCCCAAAUCUUGGAUUCUGAUGGAAGUGCUGAGAGGAAAAAUGAAGCUACAAAUUGCAAUGAAGUGAUGUCCACCCUUCCAAAAGUCAAAGGCUUGAGGGGGGAUGAUUAUUACCUGUACCAAGGCUUUUGGUACGAUGCCUUCUUCUUGGAAGGACUCAUGUCUGUUCAAGAGCACUUCAAUCCUCAAUCCACUGAUAUAUUUGUCGCCAGUUUUCCAAAAACUGGCACAACUUGGCUUAAGGCCCUCACUUUUGCUAUUUUUACACGAUCCCGUUUAAGUGGUUCAACAACUAGUUCUUUACUUACCAAGAUGCCACAUGACUGUGUUCCUUUGUUGGAAAAUGAC